CCUACGGGUGGCAGCAGUGGGGAAUAUUGGUCAAUGGGCGCAAGCCUGACCCAGCAACGCCGCGUGAAGGAAGAAGGCCCUCGGGUUGGUAACCUUCUUUAUUCAGGGCGAAACAAAUGACGGUACUGAAUGAAUAAGCCACGCCUAACUACGUGCCAGCCGCCACUGCAAUACGUAGGUCGCAGGCGUUAUCCGGAUGUACUGGGUGUACAGGUUGUGUGGGGUGGAGAGGAAGUCAGACGGUAAAUUCCAGGGCUCAACCCUGGAACUGGGUUUGAAACUGUUCUUCUUGAGUGGUGGAGAGGCAGGCGGAAUGCGGGGUGUAGCGGUGAAAUGCAUAGAUAUCCGGCAGAACACCGAUGGCGAAGGCAGCCUGCUGGACAUUAACUGACGCUGAGGCGCGAAAGCGUGGGGAGCGAACAGGAUUAGAUACCCUAGUAGUC
RNAcentral lists this ribosomal RNA (443 nucleotides) under uncultured bacterium. RNAcentral's name for it is "partial 16S ribosomal RNA". It matches the Rfam family "Bacterial small subunit ribosomal RNA", at positions 338 to 795 of the family's 1533-position model. The record is from RNAcentral.